This is a long non-coding RNA of Passer domesticus (house sparrow), 454 nucleotides long. RefSeq lists it as uncharacterized. The record is from RefSeq and is a predicted model, not a curated record. Lineage: Eukaryota; Metazoa; Chordata; Aves; Passeriformes; Passeridae. The transcript is spliced from 2 exons.
CAGCACUGUGGGGAAUUUGUGACCUUCCUUGUGCUCAGGCAUUGCUUUCCUCAGUCACUCACUCUGCCAGAAACUCCCCAACACAAUGAAAGAGAAGAAGCUGUCAACAGCACAGCUCACUGUGGUUUUAUCAGAAAUCAGCCAGCAAUAGCACUUGCAGUACAUUCAGGAGAACUUCCAGUGAUCACAACAAAAAUCAGGAGAUCAAUGGGCAGCCCUAGAGAUUCCCCUGAAGGAGCAAUGGGUGUGCAAAGCCAGCCUGGAAAAGCUGAGCCUCCUCAAACCAUGGGGUUUGAAUGAAACAAAACCAAUCCCUGUCCUGACCUCAGACCUGGCUGAGUUCAAACCCCCUUGAGCCCCCUUCAAAGAGGGCUCUGUGCUGGGGAGGCACUGUUCUGUGGGAAGUGACAAACUGGUCUUGCUGGUGCUUCCCAAGAGAUGUUCAAGGCAAUGU